AGAGUUUGAUCAUGGCUCAGAUUGAACGCUGGCGGCAUGCCUUACACAUGCAAGUCGAACGCGAAAGGGGGCAACCCCGAGUAGAGUGGCGAACGGGUGAGCAAUACAUCGGAACAUUUCCUGUAGCGGGGGACAACCUCGAGAAAUCGAGGCUAAUACCGCAUACGAUCUACGGAUGAAAGUGGGGGACCGCAAGGCCCCACACUAUAGGAGUGGCCGAUGCCGGAUUAGCUAGUUGGUGGGGUAACGGCCUACCAAGGCGACGAUCCGUAGCUGGUUUGAGAGAACGACCAGCCACACUGGGACUGAGACACGGCCCAGACUCCUACGGGAGGCAGCAGUGGGGAAUUUUGGACAAUGGGCGAAAGCCUGAUCCAGCCAUGCCGCGUGAGUGAAGAAGGCCUUCGGGUUGUAAAGCUCUUUCGGCGGGGACGAAAUAGCGCGGGGUAAUAUCCCGCGUCGAUGACGGUACCCGAAGAAGAAGGACCGGCUAACUACGUGCCAGCAGCCGCGGUAAUACGUAGGGUCCAAGCGUUAAUCGGAAUUACUGGGCGUAAAGCGUGAGUAGGCGGUUUCGCAAGUCCGAUGUGAAAUCCCCGGGCUUAACCUGGGAACUGCGUUGGAAACUACGAAGCUAGAGUGCGGCAGAGGGGGGUGGAAUUCCAGGUGUAGCAGUGAAAUGCGUAGAGAUCUGGAGGAACACCGAUGGCGAAGGCAGCCCCCUGGGUUAGCACUGACGCUCAUACACGAAAGCGUGGGGAGCAAACAGGAUUAGAUACCCCCGUAGUCC
RNAcentral lists this ribosomal RNA (790 nucleotides) under uncultured bacterium. Its description in RNAcentral is "bacterial SSU rRNA". It matches the Rfam family "Bacterial small subunit ribosomal RNA", at positions 8 to 796 of the family's 1533-position model. The record is from RNAcentral.